AAAACUAUAGGUUAAUAGAGACCGUUGGCCUUCAAAGCCGAAAGAGGAAUAGGUCCCUGGUUUUG
RNAcentral lists this transfer RNA (65 nucleotides) under Elysia atroviridis. Its description in RNAcentral is "tRNA-Trp". It matches the Rfam family "tRNA". Rfam says of the family: Transfer RNA (tRNA) molecules are approximately 80 nucleotides in length. Their secondary structure includes four short double-helical elements and three loops (D, anti-codon, and T loops). Lineage: Eukaryota; Metazoa; Mollusca; Gastropoda; Plakobranchidae. The record is from RNAcentral.